This 450-nucleotide ribosomal RNA is filed under the name uncultured bacterium. RNAcentral describes it as "partial 16S ribosomal RNA". It matches the Rfam family "Bacterial small subunit ribosomal RNA", at positions 354 to 796 of the family's 1533-position model. The record is from RNAcentral.
GUGGGGAAUCUUCCGCAAUGGACGAAAGUCUGACGGAGCAACGCCGCGUGAGCGAAGAAGGUUUUCGGAUCGUAAAGCUCUUUCGUUAGGGACGAACGUGCUCUUUGUGAAUAAUGAGGAGUAAUGACGGUACCUAAAUAAGAAGCCACGGCUAACUACGUGCCAGCAGCCGCGGUAAUACGUAGGUGGCAAGCGUUGUCCGGAAUUAUUGGGCGUAAAGCGCGCGCAGGCGGGAUAUCAAGUCUGUCUUAAAAGUGCGAGGCUCAACCUCGUGAGGGGACAGAAACUGGUAUUCUUGAGUGUCGGAGAGGAAAGUGGAAUUCCAAGUGUAGCGGUGAAAUGCGUAGAGAUUUGGAAGAACACCAGUGGCGAAGGCGACUUUCUGGACGAUGUCUGACGCUGAGGCGCGAAAGCUAGGGGAGCGAACGGGAUUAGAAACCCGAGUAGUCC